This is a non-coding RNA of Ictidomys tridecemlineatus (thirteen-lined ground squirrel), 71 nucleotides long. NCBI's taxonomy places the organism in Eukaryota, Metazoa, Chordata, Mammalia, Rodentia, Sciuridae. The record is from Rfam.
GGGGUUGUGGCUCAGUGGCAGAGUGUUCGCCUAGCAUGCGUGAGAAACUGGGUUCAAUCCUCACGACCACA